RNAcentral lists this ribosomal RNA (496 nucleotides) under uncultured bacterium. RNAcentral describes it as "partial 16S ribosomal RNA". It matches the Rfam family "Bacterial small subunit ribosomal RNA", at positions 28 to 506 of the family's 1533-position model. The record is from RNAcentral.
GAUGAACGCUGGCGGCGUGCCUAAUACAUGCAAGUCGAGCGAACAGACGAGGAGCUUGCUCCUCUGACGUUAGCGGCGGACGGGUGAGUAACACGUGGAUAACCUACCUAUAAGACUGGGAUAACUUCGGGAAACCGGAGCUAAUACCGGAUAAUAUAUUGAACCGCAUGGUUCAAUAGUGAAAGACGGUUUUGCUGUCACUUAUAGAUGGAUCCGCGCCGCAUUAGCUAGUUGGUAAGGUAACGGCUUACCAAGGCAGCGAUGCGUAGCCGACCUGAGAGGGGGAGCGGCCACACGGGAAGUGAGACCCGGCCCAGAUCCCUAGGGGGGGCAGCAGGGGGGAAUCUCCGGAAAUGGGGGAAAGCUGGAGGGGGAAAGGCCGGGGGGGUGAUGAAGGCUUUGGGGUGUAAAAACGUUGUUUUUGGGGAAGAAAAAAUGUGAAAGUAACAAGGAACGUUUGGACGGUACCAAAGAAGAAAGCCACGGCUAACUACGG